Molecule: unclassified non-coding RNA, 307 nt
Filed under: Hevea brasiliensis (rubber tree)
Lineage: Eukaryota; Viridiplantae; Streptophyta; Magnoliopsida; Malpighiales; Euphorbiaceae
Source: RNAcentral
AUGUCUAACGUCAUCGUCCUCGACAACGGGGCGGUUUUAUAAAAGCCGGCCACGGCGGCGAACGUGAUCCUGUCACUGUAAUCCCCAACUGCCUCUACCGUCCUCUCUCCUCCAAGAAAUUCCUACAUCCAUCUCCCACAGCCUCUGCCUCAACCGAAGACCUAACCUCCGCCGCUGUUCGCCGUCCAAUUGACCGCGGCUACCUCAUAAACCCCGACCUCCAGCGGGAUAUCUGGAGUCACCUCUUUACCUCUCUUCUCCACAUCACUCCCUCCAAUUACUCCCUUCUCUUGACGGAACCUCCCUG